GACGAACGCUGGCGGCGUGCCUAAUACAUGCAAGUAGAACGCUGAAGCGAGGAGCUUGCUCUUCUUGGAUGAGUUGCGAACGGGUGAGUAACGCGUAGGUAACCUGCCUGGUAGCGGGGGAUAACUAUUGGAAACGAUAGCUAAUACCGCAUAAAAUGGAUUAUCGCAUGAUAAUCCAUUGAAAGGUGCAAAUGCAUCACUACCAGAUAGACCUGCGUUGUAUUAGCUAGUUGGUGGGGUAACGGCUCACCAAGGCGACGAUACAUAGCCGACCUGAGAGGGUGAUCGGCCACACUGGGACUGAGACACGGCCCAGACUCCUACGGGAGGCAGCAGUAGGGAAUCUUCGGCAAUGGACGGAAGUCUGACCGAGCAACGCCGCGUGAGUGAAGAAGGUUUUCGGAUCGUAAAGCUCUGUUGUAAGAGAAGAACGAGUGUGAGAGUGGAAAGUUCACACUGUGACGGUAUCUUACCAGAAAGGGACGGCUAACUACGUG
RNAcentral lists this ribosomal RNA (497 nucleotides) under uncultured bacterium. Its description in RNAcentral is "partial 16S ribosomal RNA". It matches the Rfam family "Bacterial small subunit ribosomal RNA", at positions 28 to 507 of the family's 1533-position model. The record is from RNAcentral.